AUGCAUGACUUCUGGGGAACAUGCCUUCUAGCUUUGAAGAGGGAUCUGCUUUUCUUCAUAUGGACGGUCAUCAUUCCUCUCUUGAUUGGUUUGCUGGCUGACUUAUUACUGAUAUCACCCUUCGUUGGCACCGAUGAUGAUUUUCCAGCUCUAAACUUUUUCCGCACUUGGCUCCUGGGCCGGUUCUUUAAGCUCUUAUGGAUUAACCACGUCGAUGAAAGUUGGGAGGCGAAGCUUAAGCGGGCAAAUGAAGAUUUUGCUGCAGAGCUCAGACCAAUGUGGUGGUUCUUUCAAGAUGUGUGCAUUCCUGUCGCCAUGAAGCUACUCGUUGCUCUGGGUGUUCCUUAUGUUCUCGCCAAGGGCGUCUUCCCAAGAUUGGGCUACUCUGCCUCCCUGAACUCGACGGCCUACCGUUUCUCAUGGUUGGGCAGCCUUGGCAUUUGCGCCUUCUACUAUCUUGGCAAUGUGUUGUUCGUUCAGCUCCAUGAUUCUAUCAGGCAUGACCGCUAUGCCAUUGGGCGGAGGCUGGAAGACGUUGGAGGCAGAAGCUGA
RNAcentral lists this ribosomal RNA (552 nucleotides) under Triticum aestivum (bread wheat). RNAcentral describes it as "partial small subunit ribosomal RNA". The record is from RNAcentral. Lineage: Eukaryota; Viridiplantae; Streptophyta; Magnoliopsida; Poales; Poaceae.